AUUGAACGCUGGCGGAAUGCUUUACGCAUGCAAGUCGAACGGCAGCACGGGUGCUUGCACCUGGUGGCGAGUGGCGAACGGGUGAGUAAUACAUCGGAACGUGCCCAGUAAUGGGGGAUAACACAGCGAAAGCUGUGCUAAUACCGCAUACGCCCUGCGGGGGAAAGCGGGGGAUCGAAAGACCUCGCGUUAUUGGAGCGGCCGGUGCCUGAUGAGCUAGUUGGUAGGGGAAAGGCCGACCAAGGCGACGAUCAGUAGCCGGUCUGAGAGGAUGAUCAGCCACACUGGAACUGAGACACGGUCCAGACUCCUACGGGAGGCAGCAGUGGGGGAUUUUGGACAAUGGGGGAAACCCUGAUCCAGCCAUUCCGCGUGAGUGAAGAAGGCCUUCGGGUUGUAAAGCUCUUUCGGCAGGGAAGAAACGCUCUGGGUUAAUAACCUGGGGUAAUGACGGUACCUGAAGAAGAAGCACCGGCUAACUACGUGCCAGCAGCCGCAGUAA
This 502-nucleotide ribosomal RNA is filed under the name uncultured bacterium. Its description in RNAcentral is "partial 16S ribosomal RNA". It matches the Rfam family "Bacterial small subunit ribosomal RNA", at positions 29 to 523 of the family's 1533-position model. The record is from RNAcentral.